RNAcentral lists this ribosomal RNA (595 nucleotides) under Escherichia coli. RNAcentral describes it as "bacterial SSU rRNA". It matches the Rfam family "Bacterial small subunit ribosomal RNA", at positions 154 to 736 of the family's 1533-position model. The record is from RNAcentral. Lineage: Bacteria; Pseudomonadati; Pseudomonadota; Gammaproteobacteria; Enterobacterales; Enterobacteriaceae.
AAACGAAAGAUAAUACCGCAUGUAGAUCUUAUUAUCGCAUGAGAAAAGAUCAAAAGAACCGUUUGGUUCACUAUGAGAUGGGGAUGCGGCGUAUUAGCUAGUAGGUGAGAUAAUAGCCCACCUAGGCGAUGAUACGUAGCCGAACUGAGAGGUUGAUCGGCCACAUUGGGACUGAGAUACGGCCCAGACUCCUACGGGAGGCAGCAGUAGGGAAUUUUUCACAAUGGACGAAAGUCUGAUGAAGCAAUGCCGCGUGAGUGAUGACGGCCUUCGGGUUGUAAAGCUCUGUUGUAAGGGAAGAAAAAAUAAAGUAGGAAAUGACUUUAUCUUGACAGUACCUUACCAGAAAGCCACGGCUAACUAUGUGCCAGCAGCCGCGGUAAUACAUAGGUGGCAAGCGUUAUCCGGAUUUAUUGGGCGUAUAGGGUGCGUAGGCGGUUUUGCAAGUUUGAGGUUAAAGUCCGGAGCUCAACUCCGGUUCGCCUUGAAAACUGUAUUACUAGAAUGCAAGAGAGGUAAGCGGAAUUCCAUGUGUAGCGGUGAAAUGCGUAGAUAUAUGGAAGAACACCUGUGGCGAAAGCGGCUUACUGGCUUG